CAAAAUGAAGAAGAAAUUAAACCGACGGCGACCACUCUGGCCUUGUUGUUAAAGGACAUGGAUAUUUUAUUCGGAUAUUAUUACAUCGUUUUAUCGACCAAAACGAGAACACAAACAACGAAAGUUUCUUUGUCUGUAGUGUAGUCUCUUCGCCGAUGUUCCAACGAAAGAAAAAAGAAGCCACCUUGCCACUCUCCACCGCCAUCCCCAACCUUGCGAGGAGGAUUCCAUUAGCCACGAUGUCCUCCAACUUCCUCAGAACUCCGAACAUGCUCCCUCUCAACUUCAGAUCCUUCCUCUUGAUCCUUUCCCUCCUUCUCAACCUCUACCUUCUUCUCUACCGCCGGCACUCCUUUGCCCCUCCCCCAAUUCUAAUCUCACGCGCCACCGCCUCCCCGACCACGCGCUGCCACCUCGUCUUCGCGAUCGCUUCAUCGUCUGUGUCUUGGCCUAAAAGGAGAUCUUAUGUUCGCCUCUGGUAUUCCCCCAAUUCCACUCGAGCAUUUGCUUUCCUGGACGCUCCCGUCGCCAAUGAGUCCUCUAUUUUACCCGAUAUGCCGCCCGUGGUGGUCUCCGCUGACACCUCCAAGUUCCCAUAUACCUUCAAAAGAGGGCUUCGAUCGGCGAUUCGCGUUGCGCGCGUGGUUAAGGAAGUGGUUGAUCGGAAUGAGCCGGAUGUGAGGUGGUAUGUGUUUGGUGAUGAUGACACUGUGUUUUUUGUGGACAAUUUGGUGAAAAGCCUGUCAAAAUACGAUCAUGAUAGGUGGUUCUAUAUAGGGUCCAAUUCAGAGAGCUACGAACAGAAUGUAAAGAACUCCUUUGAGAUGGCAUUUGGUGGGGGCGGUUUCGCCAUUAGCCAUUCUCUUGCCAAGGUCUUAGCUAGGGUUUUGGACUCGUGUUUGAAGAGGUAUGCGCAUUUAUAUGGAAGCGAUGCGAGGAUCUAUUCUUGUGUGUCAGAGCUCGGCGUUGGGUUAACUCACGAAUUUGGGUUCCAUCAGGUAGACUUGAGGGGGAAUUUGUUAGGGCUGUUGGCAGCACAUCCAUUAUCUCCUUUAUUGUCACUUCAUCACUUGGAUAUAGUGGAGCCGCUCUUUCCUAGUAUGAACAAUACACAAGCUUUGGAGCACCUUUUUACAGCUGCAAAUGUUGAUCCUCAGAGGAUCUUGCAACAAGCUGUCUGCUAUGACCGAUCAAACUCGUUGACUUUCUCAGUUUCAUGGGGAUUUGCGAUCCAGGUUUUUCUUGGCAAUGAAUUUCUCCCAGAUCUUCUUUCAGUGCAGAGAACCUUUACACCAUGGAAUAGGGGUAAAAUCACUGAUGCUCAUUUUAUCUUUAACCUGAGAGACUAUCCAAAGGAUCCAUGUAGAAGACCUUCUGUAUUUUUCCUGCAAAGUGUUACAACUACUAGAAAUGGCAUUUGGACCAACUACACUAGACACGUUGUUGGCCACUGUUUUGAAUCAAACCCUACAAAGCAGCUGAAACAGAUAGGAGUUUUUGCAAGGAAGCUAGAGCUUGAUAUUGAACAGAUGAAGGCCCCUCGUCGACAGUGCUGUAAUGUCUUGCCAAAUUCUGGGGAAACAAUGAUCAUUCAUAUUAGACAGUGUGGAAUCAACGAACUGAUCUCCAUGAGAUACUAGCAUUCUUUUUGGGAGUUGCCAUGCUCAGCCUCCAGAUAUUUUGUGACCUGUGAGUCUGGAGGCGUCUGAUCAUCUUGAAGUUAAACUGGUACAAGAAGAAGACCAUUUACUUGAAGACGAAGACCUGAUUAUGGUGAAAGACCUUCUGCCCUAACAAAGUAAUAAACCUCUUGCAACUUGCUACAGCUACCUGGCCUGUUUGCUGCUUGGCUCAUUUCAAUAUACUUUCCAAAUGCUUUAUUUAGCUACAAUUCUUUAGUUUACAGUAUACUUUUCUCACCUGUUUUGGUGCUUGAAACUUGUGAAGAAGCUACAUGUAGUUUGGAGUGUUACGUGUUAAGCCAGUCGAUCGAGGAUCAUUUUUAGAUUUUUUUUUUUUUUUACGGGAAAUUGAUUUUAUUGAGGACUAUGUACGGAAGUUGGCUAUACGGCUGUAUGCAAACUUGUGAUUAGUCUGUGAAGAAAGUGUAUCAUGCAUGACCUUAAAUUAAGCAAAGAAUAAGUUUUAACGCUUU
Molecule: RNA transcript, 2155 nt
Organism: Prosopis cineraria
Lineage: Eukaryota; Viridiplantae; Streptophyta; Magnoliopsida; Fabales; Fabaceae
Exons: 4
Source: RefSeq, a predicted model, not a curated record